AGUGAACGCUGGCGGUAGGCCUAACACAUGCAAGUCGAACGGCAGCACAGGAGAGCUUGCUCUCUGGGUGGCGAGUGGCGGACGGGUGAGGAAUACAUCGGAAUCUACUUUUUCGUGGGGGAUAACGUAGGGAUACUUACGCCAAUACCGCAUACGACCUACGGGUGAAAGCAGGGGACCUUCGGGCCUUGCGCGAUUGAAUGAGCCGAUGUCGGAUUAGCUAGUUGGCGGGGUAAAGGCCCACCAAGGCGACGAUCCGCAGCUGGUCUGAGAGGAUGAUCAGCCACACUGGAACUGAGACACGGUCCAGACUCCUACGGGAGGCAGCAGUGGGGAAUAUUGGACAAUGGGCGCAAGCCUGAUCCAGCCAUACCGCGUGGGUGAAGAAGGCCUUCGGGUUGUAAAGCCCUUUUGUUGGGAAAGAAAUCCAGCUGGCUAAUACCCGGUUGGGAUGACGGUACCCAAAGAAUAAGCACCGGCUAACUUCGUGCCAGCCGCCGCCGUAA
Molecule: ribosomal RNA, 506 nt
Filed under: uncultured bacterium
Lineage: Bacteria
Description: partial 16S ribosomal RNA
Rfam family: Bacterial small subunit ribosomal RNA
Source: RNAcentral